Molecule: long non-coding RNA, 1186 nt
Filed under: Lathyrus oleraceus (garden pea)
Lineage: Eukaryota; Viridiplantae; Streptophyta; Magnoliopsida; Fabales; Fabaceae
Description: Pisum sativum (pea) long non-coding RNA (PSAT_LNC031094)
Source: RNAcentral
AAAAGUCUAUUUAAUUAUAAUUUUAAAGAAAACAAAUAAGAAUAGUGACAAUGUUAAUUUAUUUAAUCUUAAGUUGAUGGUGUUUAGGCAUUGUUAUGCUAAAUAGAGCAAACCAAAAUCCUCAAUGGCAAUCAAAUAGAGAACAUUGUGCAAACGGUAUACAAAUAAUUUUCUGGAACAUCCUUUUCUGAAAUCUACCGCAGCAUCCCGGCAUAUGCCCACUCCUAUGCUUAUUAACUUCAUCCAAACACACAUGAAUUUAUCCUUAACAAAAUUGGUUCAAAUUGAAAUUCCAUCCUAGUAUUAAUAAUAAAACUUUUAACACCACAGUAAAGCAUAUCCACGUUAACCUCUGUAUAAUGACGAAAACAAGCCAAACUCAAUGAGAAAGCCCACCGAUAAUUUGGUUUACGGCAUGAAUCGGCUUUAACAACAACACAGUAUUUAAUCAUAUAAUCAACAAGCAACAACAUGUUUUGUUUGUUUUUUUUUAUUUUAAAAACUUUACAAUAUCAACAAUUUAAAUGACAAUAAAGUGGACAAUUUGGAAAUUAAGGACACACUUGAAACAGGUUUUAUGACUAAAAUCAUGACGCAUGAAGGCUGCGGAUUUCUGCAACGGCUUUUAAGCGUACAACCUCAACCAAGCGGGAUUAAAUCAAUUAUAUAGCACAAAUGAUAAAAUACAAAAAAAAAAGCUAGGCGCAAGAGAUUAAAUAGAAAUACACCUCAAUGGCAAUUAAUCCAGACCAAAACCAAAAAAUUGAAACAACGAACAUGACAUAAACAGAGUUGAAGAGAAAUGACUCAGAUUUACCGACACCGUUAGUCAAGGAUGUGCUGCAAAUCGUUGAGGUAGAGCUCCUUUGUUUCAUACACGUCCUUGCUGUAAAGGAAAAAAACCUAUUCUGGUUUCGACUGGAACAUGCGAAAUCCGAACCAUCACGAACCAAGACCUCUUCAGAAAACCAAAUGCGAUCUUGAAUAGCAUGUUGACGAUGUUUAUCCGAGAGGACUUGUUGUGGACUGCUCGGCGAUUCAGCGAAGAAGUGGUGUCUCCUGGACGAAGGCACGAUUGGUGAAGAGGAUCCGGUGGAACAAUUGUAGUCGGAUGAGGGUUUGAAGUGGUGAAGCGAGCGAUGAAGGUGUGGGUCGGAAUCGUGAGCGGUGGAGGGUGAAGGUCGCG